This 208-nucleotide long non-coding RNA is filed under the name Mytilus galloprovincialis (Mediterranean mussel). Lineage: Eukaryota; Metazoa; Mollusca; Bivalvia; Mytilida; Mytilidae. The record is from RNAcentral.
UGUUUGUCUGUUUGACCGUUUCAUUUUUAGCCAUGGCGUUGUCAGUUUAUUUUCCAUUUAUGAGUUUGACUGCCCCUCUAGUAUCUUUUGCCCCUUUUUAAAGAAGAUGUUCACCUAUCUUUAUUAGUUUUGUCAUAUAUUAUAGAAAAUUAUAGUAGAAAAAGAUACACUUUAAAUCACAAAAAUGACCAGCAAGUCAAGAUCUACU